RNAcentral lists this unclassified non-coding RNA (352 nucleotides) under soil metagenome. Its description in RNAcentral is "partial contains 5.8S ribosomal RNA, internal transcribed spacer 2, and large subunit ribosomal RNA". The stretch from base 1 to 120 matches the Rfam family "5.8S ribosomal RNA", at positions 35 to 154 of the family's 154-position model. The record is from RNAcentral.
GAUGAAGAACGCAGCGAAAUGCGAUAAGUAAUGUGAAUUGCAGAAUUCAGUGAAUCAUCGAAUCUUUGAACGCACAUUGCGCCCGCUGGUACUCCGGCGGGCACGCCUGUCCGAGCGUCAUUUCAACCCUCAAGCCCUCCUUCGGGAUGGGCCUGGUGUUGGGGCUCGGCCGCCAUCUCCGGCGGCCGUCCCCUAAAUACAGUGGCGGUCACGUCGCGACUCCUUUGCGUAGUAGAAACACCUCGCUCCGGAUAGCAACGCGGUCCACGCCGUAAAACCCCCAAUUUUCAAUGGUUGACCUCGGAUCAGGUGGGAAUACCCGCUGAACUUAAGCAUAUCAAUAAGCGGAGGA